This is a non-coding RNA of Vigna umbellata (rice bean), 770 nucleotides long. The record is from RefSeq and is a predicted model, not a curated record. Lineage: Eukaryota; Viridiplantae; Streptophyta; Magnoliopsida; Fabales; Fabaceae.
CGCGAGGAGCCUCUGUCCUUGCGCCUUUCGCAUCUGUCUCCGCGUACCUUCGAGGGGGCCAUAGUUCUGCGAGGAGCCUUUCUUUCUGUAAGCUCUUUCCCCUUCGCGUUCGUAAAAAUGAAUCAAAAUUUAAGAAAUCUUGAAGUUCAGGACAAAAUUGGGUAUAAACGAUGGGUUCCCACUAGAGAACAGGUUGCCCUAUUAGAGGCACUUUUCGGUUUGGGAUAAGAAACCCGAAUAGGGAGCAAGUACAUGAAAUUGCGACCAGGCUUAAAGUUUACGGGGAAUAUAGUGUUUACUGCUGGUUUCAGAAUUAUGGAUAUCGUGAAAAACAGCGAUUUCUGAAGCGAAGCACCACCACCACGUCUUACUCUCCAAUACCCCUCCUGCCGCCUUUUAUGGAUGGUAAGCCCCCUUUUUUUUGUAUAUUUUUUUUUCUUUUUUGAUUUUUUUUGUUUUCUUUUAUUUUGGAGAUCUUUCACGGGCAGCGCCGUCGAUUCCAGAUCGGGUGACACUAGAUCUUUUUCCGAUCCCUCCCGUCCCAGAAAAAAAUGAGGUCUCUCCCCCUCUUCGGUUCCAGGUGAAGGCUCCUUCUGUUGAACUUUCUCUACGACGGCCUUCUAUUGAUGAAUAGUCUCCUCAUAGAGACUGCAAAUUGUAAUUUUUUUUAUGUGUUUUUUUUCUUUAUUUGGACUGUAAUUUUAACGAUCACCAGUGAUCGACCCCUGAACAUCUUUUAUUUUUAUUAUUAUGUUUUUUUUUUGUUUAAA